AAUAAAGAACCCUCCAAUGGUGUCAUCUGCAAACAAGCGUUAAAAGCGUACCCAUGCAGAGCUUGAAAUUUGUUCUCAUCUCCCCAAAACUUUUCUCUCCUUUGCUUUUCUCUUUCUUCUCUCUACUUUUCCUUAACCCUUAAGUCUUCUCUGCUUCUUCUUCUUCUUCUUAUUCUUUAAAACCCAAAAAUAAUCACCAACAGAUCCUCUCUUUCCUCUUCAAUGGAAGAUACAAACUCCUACACCAAAUAUCAACAGCAAAACCAAGCAACUAUCCCAACUAAGUUUUACUCUCAUUUCCUCUGCAAAGCUCUUAUAGUGACCAUAUUCUUAGUCAUACUGCCACUUUUCCCUUCACAAGCUCCUGAAUUCAUAAACCAAACACUAAACACUAGAGGCUGGGAGUUUCUCCACCUUAUUUUUGUUGGUAUAGCUGUUUCUUAUGGCCUGUUUAGCCGUAGGAAUGAUGAAGCAGAAAAAGAUAAUAACAACCUCUCAAAAUUUGAUAAUGCUCAAUCCUAUGUCUCUAGAUUCCUUCAGGUUUCUUCAGUUUUCGAUGAUGAAGCUGAUAGCCCUUCCAGGUCUGAUGGGAGCACCGUCCAAACAUGGAAUAAUCAGUACUACAGGAAUGACCCUGUGGUUGUUGUAGCUGACGAAAAUUCUGUUCUUGAUCAAGAACGGAGAGCUACCAGUUCAAGAGUCGGUGAAAAACCACUUUUGUUGCCUGUUAGGAGCUUAAAAUCGCGUGUUUUCGAAACAGAUGGUAAUGAAACUAGUAAAGAAUCUUCUUCUACUGGUGUUUCUGCUUCUAUUAGUAGGUCUAGUUCUAAUUUGGGUUCUAAAAGAAUUUCGAGCAAUUCAGUUAAAAGCAGAAAUGGGGAAUUUGGUGGAUCCCAUCAUCAAGAUUUGGAGGAAAUGCUGAAGGAUAAUAUGGUCCUUCUCUCUCCAAUUCCAUGGAAAUCAAGAUCUGGAAGGAUGGAAAUGAAGGAAACAAAAGAAGAAGCCGACAGUCCUGAUCUGUAUACUCUGCCUCCGUCCAUGGAAGAAUCUGAAUUCAACAGGUCUUUCAGGGCCCAAGUGUCUCGAUCACCCCGGCCCGAUUCAACAAAUUCUUCCCCCAAACUGUCCCCCUCACCAUCAAUAUCUUCACCAAGGAAGCUUUCACCACAGCCCAAUUCAACAAAUUCUUCCCCAAAACUGUCCCCCUCACCUUCAAUAUCUUCACCAAAGAAGCUUUCACCUUCACCUUCUUUCCCAGCCGAGGCACAAGGCAGAAGCGCAGAGGAUUUUGUCAGGAAGAAGAGCUUCUACAGGUCUCCUCCACCCCCUCCUCCACCACCACCACCACCAUCGCAAGUGAUUCGAAAAUCACAGUCAAUGAAACCGAGUUCCAGUGCCAUUAAUGAUUUGAGGCGAAGUUAUACAAGCGAGCCAAAAGAAUUGAAUAGAGGUGGUGGCUUAUCAAUUCCAACAUCAGUGAGGACAACAAGAAACAGUGAUUCCCUUUUUGGGAAAGAAUUUGAUGAUAUGAUCAACACCAAGGCAGAGAAAAGAUUCAAGGAAGUUGAUGCAGGUAUAAUGGAGAGAGGAGGAAGAAAGAUGGUAGGGUUUGAUCAAUCAUCAUUCAAGACCGAGAGGCUGAACCGUGAAAGAGUCACUUUUAUGCUACAGCCAACUUUCAGGGAAUAUCCGAAGGAAGAGAAAGAAGAUUUCGUGGAAAAAUUGGUGUUGGAAUCAGAUGAGGAUUUGGAGACUGAGGACGAAGAUGACGAUGACAUCUUGGGAAGUUGUUUUGUUUCAGGCACUGCAGCAAGUUCAAACAAUGAUCAAGCUGCUUCUUGCACUGCAAGUGAUGGAGGACCCGAUGUUGACAAGAAAGCUGAUGAGUUCAUAGCCAAAUUCAGAGAGCAAAUCAGGCUGCAACGGAUAGAGUCUAUCAAGAGAUCGAGUGGACAAAUAAGUAGAAAGGCUUCAAGGUAAUCUUAACAGGAUGGAUUAAUUUGGAUUGGUGAUCAGAAAACUUUUGUUUAUCUUAUUUUAUGCUUAUAGUUUUACUUGGUAUCAAGAAUCUUAGGACAUAAUUUCACAGGGUACAAGAAUUGCUUGGUAUACAAUGUUUUCUUCUUCUUGUGGGUGGCAUUUGUUAAAAUGAAUAGAUGUGGUUUCUCAAGAAUGUUUCGUAGAAUCCACUUGAUUUAUUGUUUUGACAGUCAUGGAAAAUGCCUCUCAAAAAUUAAAUAUAUUCCUGGUUCAAGCUUACGAGUGGUUAUUAGGAGCUAGCAGAUCGAGUCUGUAACAAAUUAAUCUAAAACUACAUCCUCACCUUCAGCUGCUAAACUUGC
RNAcentral lists this unclassified non-coding RNA (2342 nucleotides) under Hevea brasiliensis (rubber tree). Lineage: Eukaryota; Viridiplantae; Streptophyta; Magnoliopsida; Malpighiales; Euphorbiaceae. The record is from RNAcentral.